RNAcentral lists this ribosomal RNA (1344 nucleotides) under Bacillus subtilis. RNAcentral's name for it is "bacterial SSU rRNA". It matches the Rfam family "Bacterial small subunit ribosomal RNA". The record is from RNAcentral. Lineage: Bacteria; Bacillati; Bacillota; Bacilli; Caryophanales; Bacillaceae.
AAGUAACCUGCCUGUAAGACUGGAAUAACUCCGGGAAACCGGGGCUAAUACCGGAUGCUUGUUUGAACCGCAUGGUUCAAACAUAAAAGGUGGCUUCGGCUACCACUUACAGAUGGACCCGCGGCGCAUUAGCUAGUUGGUGAGGUAAUGGCUCACCAAGGCAACGAUGCGUAGCCGACCUGAGAGGGUGAUCGGCCACACUGGGACUGAGACACGGCCCAGACUCCUACGGGAGGCAGCAGUAGGGAAUCUUCCGCAAUGGACGAAAGUCUGACGGAGCAACGCCGCGUGAGUGAUGAAGGUUUUCGGAUCGUAAAGCUCUGUUGUUAGGGAAGAACAAGUACCGUUCGAAUAGGGCGGUACCUUGACGGUACCUAACCAGAAAGCCACGGCUAACUACGUGCCAGCAGCCGCGGUAAUACGUAGGUGGCAAGCGUUGUCCGGAAUUAUUGGGCGUAAAGGGCUCGCAGGCGGUUCCUUAAGUCUGAUGUGAAAGCCCCCGGCUCAACCGGGGAGGGUCAUUGGAAACUGGGGAACUUGAGUGCAGAAGAGGAGAGUGGAAUUCCACGUGUAGCGGUGAAAUGCGUAGAGAUGUGGAGGAACACCAGUGGCGAAGGCGACUCUCUGGUCUGUAACUGACGCUGAGGAGCGAAAGCGUGGGGAGCGAACAGGAUUAGAUACCCUGGUAGUCCACGCCGUAAACGAUGAGUGCUAAGUGUUAGGGGGUUUCCGCCCCUUAGUGCUGCAGCUAACGCAUUAAGCACUCCGCCUGGGGAGUACGGUCGCAAGACUGAAACUCAAAGGAAUUGACGGGGGCCCGCACAAGCGGUGGAGCAUGUGGUUUAAUUCGAAGCAACGCGAAGAACCUUACCAGGUCUUGACAUCCUCUGACAAUCCUAGAGAUAGGACGUCCCCUUCGGGGGCAGAGUGACAGGUGGUGCAUGGUUGUCGUCAGCUCGUGUCGUGAGAUGUUGGGUUAAGUCCCGCAACGAGCGCAACCCUUGAUCUUAGUUGCCAGCAUUCAGUUGGGCACUCUAAGGUGACUGCCGGUGACAAACCGGAGGAAGGUGGGGAUGACGUCAAAUCAUCAUGCCCCUUAUGACCUGGGCUACACACGUGCUACAAUGGACAGAACAAAGGGCAGCGAAACCGCGAGGUUAAGCCAAUCCCACAAAUCUGUUCUCAGUUCGGAUCGCAGUCUGCAACUCGACUGCGUGAAGCUGGAAUCGCUAGUAAUCGCGGAUCAGCAUGCCGCUUUAAAUACGUUCCCGGGCGAAGUACCCCUUUAGUUUGACCCCGGUCAGAACGAACCCUAGAGUUUGAUCCUGGUCAGAACGAACGCUA